Molecule: ribosomal RNA, 578 nt
Filed under: Glomeromycota sp.
Lineage: Eukaryota; Fungi; Glomeromycota
Description: partial large subunit ribosomal RNA
Rfam family: Eukaryotic large subunit ribosomal RNA
Source: RNAcentral
GAGUUGUAAUUUGAAGAAGCGUUUUCUGCGUAGUUUGGUCAGCCUAAGUCCUAUUGAAUGAGGCAUCAUGGAGGGUGAUAAUCCCGUUCGGUUGAUCAUUGCGCUUUACGAUACGCUUUCAAAGAGUCAAGUUGUUUGGAAUUGCAGCUUAAAAUGGGAGGUAAAUUUCUCCUAAGGCUAAAUAACGGCGAGAGACCGAUAGCGAACAAGUACCGUGAGGGAAAGAUGAAAAGAACUUUGAAAAGAGAGUUAUAUAGUACGUGAAAUUGUUGAAAGGGAAACGAUUGAAGCCAGUCGUACCGGCGGGUAAUCAGCCUUUUGGGUGUGAUUAUGUGGAGCGUGAGGAGCUAAUCGCCUUCAUCUUUGCAUAUUCGUGCACUUUGGGUGUACUUGCUCGUGUGGUAGGUUAACAUCAAUUUUGAUCAUCAUAAAAUGAUUGAAGGAAUGUAGCUUCGAUCUCGUAUUGAAGUGUUAUAGCCUUUGGUAGAUGUGAUGAUCGGGAUUGAGGAUUGCAACGGAUACCCUUCGGGGCUACCUGUCUGAUCUCUGAAAGUUGCUCUGGUGCUGAAAGCUUGCUU